RNAcentral lists this ribosomal RNA (478 nucleotides) under uncultured bacterium. Its description in RNAcentral is "bacterial SSU rRNA". It matches the Rfam family "Bacterial small subunit ribosomal RNA", at positions 364 to 832 of the family's 1533-position model. The record is from RNAcentral.
UUUCGCAAUGCCCGAAAGGGUGACGAAGCGACGCCGCGUGAGUGAGGAAGGCCUUCGGGUUGUAAAGCUCUGUCAGGAGUUAAGAAAUAUAAGUGUGUUAAUACCGCAUUUAUUUGACAAAGGCUCCAAAGGAAGCCGCGGCUAACUCUGUGCCAGCAGCCGCGGUAAUACAGAGGUGGCAAGCGUUGUCCGGAAUUAUUGGGCGUAAAGAGCACGUAGGUGGGUUUGUAAGUCAGAUGUGAAAGCCCUCUGUUCAACGGAAGAAUUGCAUCUGAAACUGCGGAUCUUGAGUGUAGGAGGGGAGAAUGGAACUUCUGGUGGAGCAGUGAAAUGCGUAGGUAUCAGAAGGAACGCCGGCGGCGAAAGCGAUUCUCUGGCCUAUUACUGACACUCAGUGUGCGAAAGCUAGGGGAGCAAACGGGAUUAGAUACCCCGGUAGUCCUAGCCGUAAACGAUGGGCACUAAGUAGAGGGGUUUU